Chenopodium quinoa (quinoa) is the source of this 2512-nucleotide long non-coding RNA. RefSeq lists it as uncharacterized. The record is from RefSeq and is a predicted model, not a curated record. Lineage: Eukaryota; Viridiplantae; Streptophyta; Magnoliopsida; Caryophyllales; Amaranthaceae. The transcript has 4 exons.
AAUUUAAAGAUAUUUCUCACCUCACACACACUAUAUAAAGCCAUGACCAGAUAUUGUCUCAUUUCUCCUCUCUCUUUCUCUCUCUGAAGUCGGCAGGAUAUUCAAUGUCUCCUAGCUGGAGGCAAAUCCGCCAUUUUUCUCAAUUCAUCAACCUUCUCAUUUCUUCUACUCUCCUUUUUCUCUCUCCUCUUUUGCCGUGUUCAAAUUCUCCACUACCACUCGUUUUUCCAAGCAUCUUCAUCUCUCACAUCCAUGGAAACAGUUGAAAAAUCCUUAUUGUAAUUUAAAUCAAGAUUGUUAACAGAAUGUCAAAGGCACUUUUGAGUGAACUACUGCGAAAUUCUGAUCAAUAACACGCUAGUUUUCUGUGACAAAAUUCCUUUUGCAAGUUGGCACUGAGGGCAAGCAUGCAUUUGAAGGUAUAAAGAGACCCCUCCGUCUGUUUUUGAUGGUAUAAAAAUACGAGAUUCUAAAGCUUUUUAAUUUAGAUACAUUUUUCUAUGAAGGAAAAGCUCUAUAAGUAUGAGGUAUUUGAAUUACAGCUGUCUAUUCAUGCUGGAGAUCUUUAAGAUAGACUCCGUGAACAGUAUCAAAUGCAGGUCUUAGCAUAGUCAAUAGAGACAUCCCUCCUCCAAAGAAAAUUAAUUAUUACCUGGUCCUUGAAAAGCAUGGCACUAUAAUAAUCCAUUACUUGCAUGAUGUUUCUUAAACCUUGAUAUUUUACUAAAAGCUUUUUAAACAUGGACAAAAGCCAAUAUACAUAGUAGAAGAGAUUAGCACUAGAAGAGAGAACCUUCUAGGUUCUUAAGCACAAAAUAAAAAUAUACCACACCUUAGCAAUGAAAUUACUAGAAUGUAUUAAGACCUACAUGUACACUGAAAUAACUAACAAUAAGUUUUUGCAAAAAAAUGAUGCUUCCAAACCAUGUUUGUACGAUUGUGAGUUCUUAUUACUUGUAGUCUUAGAUUAGUUUUGAAAAGCAAGAUUGUCCAUGUUUGGUGGACAACUUGUCCUCUUUGUUGGUAAUUCUUUUUUUUCAAAUGUCAAUAUAAUCCUUUAUAAAAAAUAAAAACAAGAUUUAUUUAUUUAUUUAUUUAUUUUAUUUUUACAAAAAUUGAAGCUGCCAAGGAUGGCAAAUGAAAUUAUUGGUUAGUUUUCAUAAAGGCAAUUAACUCCUUUUUUUUUUGGAGGCAAUUAUCCAAUCCUACUGUUUUAUGUAGGGUAAGUAAUUGGUGGGAUUCUUAACCAACAUGAUGUUCUUCGAUUCCCAAUUAGUGUAACCAGAUUAAUAAUUGAAAUUUAAUUUUCAAAGUGGUAAUUAAAAACAUACUUCGAUUCCCAAUUACUGUAACCAGAUUGAUAAUUGAAAUUUAAUUUUCAAAGUGGUAAUUAAAAACGUAAUUUUGUUUGGAAUUUAGAAGCCUUCUAUAAUGACAAUCUUUGGUAUAAGAAUGAUGCCACUUUAUGUCAAUGUAUCACAACAUAUUUGAUAUCCUACGAUUUAAUAUUUGGUACCUUGGAUGUGAAAGAUAAUUCCACAUACUCUAUAUGUCCAACAAUUGGAUCGCGUACAUUUGAUGAUACCUUCUUAUAAGGUAGCUUGUAUUCAUGCUAGCAUAUCCGUUCACUCUUGUUUAUUCAUGCCCAUAAAAGUCUCUUUUGAAAGCUUUCUCGAUAUGAGGAAUUUCUUUGGUUAAAUAAGAUCAUCUAACUCUUCCAAACACUAUUCUUGACUUAGUCUUUCAACCCUAUAGCUGGUUUAUUCUUCAUCUUUUAAGGAUUGGUAAAAUGGAUCUUCUCAGUAGUUUUUCCAGCUCCUUAACAUGUUAUCAAAGCUCCUUAUUAUUCAAGAUGGACAUUUUUAUUUCUUGUUUUUCAUUUACACCAAAUUUGAUACCCAUUAAACCCUUUGUGUUGUCUUUUGCCUACCUAGUCUCUUGAAAUAAUGUUAUAUUGGAUAUUGCCCUUUUUAUGUUCCACCAACACUAAGGACAUGCCUUUAGUAGUCCAAUAUUCCAAGAGUGCACCCAACAUUUACUUUUAGACUUGAAGUUUUCAUUAUUGUUUGAAAAAUGCCACUCUAAAGCCAUCACACAAUCAUAUGGGUAAAAAAUGGUGGUUGUACAUACUUAUUAGUGGCCAAUUUUACCUUUAUAUAUGCAUGAAAUCAUAUGUUUUUUUUAUUUUUUUAUUAUUUUUUUUUUAAUAACUAUUUUUCCUUCUCUCUCUUUAAUCUGUAUUGGGAAUUUUAAACUUAGCAGGAUUAACUCUGGAUAUUGUUUCAUUGCCAACGUUGUUAGCAUUCAAAUUUUGACAUGUCAUUUCAGUUUUAGAAUAAUCUAAACACAUAAGGGCAAGGUAUAAUUUUUGUCUAACUUUGUUAAUGUCAAAUUUUGUUUGAAUUUGUGCUGGUCAUUCUCAAAGAGAUAUAUAAUAAAUCAUCUAUGGCUAUAUAUGAGAAAAUUUUUUUGCUAAGAGUUGACAUAUACGUAGAUUGGUAUAGAAGUUGAA